AUUGAACGCUGGCGGCAGGCCUAACACAUGCAAGUCGAACGGUAACAGGAAGCAGCUUGCUGCUUUGCUGACGAGUGGCGGACGGGUGAGUAAUGUCUGGGAAACUGCCUGAUGGAGGGGGAUAACUACUGGAAACGGUAGCUAAUACCGCAUAACGUCGCAAGACCAAAGAGGGGGACCUUCGGGCCUCUUGCCAUCGGAUGUGCCCAGAUGGGAUUAGCUUGUUGGUGGGGUAACGGCUCACCAAGGCGACGAUCCCUAGCUGGUCUGAGAGGAUGACCAGCCACACUGGAGCUGAGACACGGUCCAGACUCCUACGGGAGGCAGCAGUGGGGAAUAUUGCACAAUGGGCGCAAGCCUGAUGCAGCCAUGCCGCGUGUAUGAAGAAGGCCUUCGGGUUGUAAAGUACUUUCAGCGGGGAGGAGGGGAGUAAAGUUAAUACCUUUACUCAUUGACGUUACCCGCAGAAGAAGCACCGGCUAACUCCGUG
This 490-nucleotide ribosomal RNA is filed under the name uncultured bacterium. Its description in RNAcentral is "partial 16S ribosomal RNA". It matches the Rfam family "Bacterial small subunit ribosomal RNA", at positions 30 to 507 of the family's 1533-position model. The record is from RNAcentral.